RNAcentral lists this ribosomal RNA (253 nucleotides) under uncultured bacterium. RNAcentral's name for it is "partial 16S ribosomal RNA". It matches the Rfam family "Bacterial small subunit ribosomal RNA", at positions 524 to 776 of the family's 1533-position model. The record is from RNAcentral.
UACGAGGGGGGCAAGCGUUGUUCGGAAUUAUUGGGCGUAAAGGGCGCGUAGGCGGUGCGGUAAGUCACCUGUGAAAUCUCUGGGCUCAACUCAGAGUCUGCAGGCGAAACUGCCGUGCUGGAGUAUGGGAGAGGUGCGUGGAAUUUCCGGUGUAGCGGUGAAAUGCGUAGAUAUCGGAAGGAACACCAGUGGCGAAAGCGGCUUCCUGGUCCAGCACCGACGUUCAGGCACGAAAGCGUGGGGAGCAAACAGG